This 568-nucleotide ribosomal RNA is filed under the name uncultured Alphaproteobacteria bacterium. Its description in RNAcentral is "partial 16S ribosomal RNA". It matches the Rfam family "Bacterial small subunit ribosomal RNA", at positions 1 to 585 of the family's 1533-position model. Lineage: Bacteria; Pseudomonadati; Pseudomonadota; Alphaproteobacteria. The record is from RNAcentral.
CGCCAUGGCGGCCGCGGGAAUUCGAUUAGAGUUUGAUCAUGGCUCAGAACGAACGCUGGCGGCAGGCCUAACACAUGCAAGUCGAACGCUCGUAGCAAUACGAGAGUGGCAGACGGGUGAGUAACACGUGGGAACCUUCCCUAUGGUUCGGAAUAGCUCAGGGAAACUUGAGGUAAUACCGGAUAAGCCCUUCGGGGGAAAGAUUUAUCGCCAUUGGAUGGGCCCGCGUCGGAUUAGCUAGUUGGUGGGGUAACGGCCUACCAAGGCGACGAUCCGUAGCUGGUCUGAGAGGAUGAUCAGCCACACUGGGACUGAGACACGGCCCAGACUCCUACGGGAGGCAGCAGUGGGGAAUAUUGGACAAUGGGCGCAAGCCUGAUCCAGCCAUGCCGCGUGAGUGACGAAGGUCUUCGGAUUGUAAAGCACUUUAAGUUGGGAGGAAGGGCAUUAACCUAAUACGUUAGUGUUUUGACGUUACCGACAGAAUAAGCACCGGCUAACUCUGUGCCAGCAGCCGCGGUAAUACGAAUCACUAGUGAAUUCGCGGCCGCCUGCAGGUCGACCAUAU